AGCCUGAACGCUGGCGGCGUGGCUAAGACAUGCAAGUCGUACGGUGUAGCAAUACACAGUGGCGAACGGGUGAGUAAUGAAUCGCUAACGUGCCCUGGACUUCGGGAUAGCUAUCCGAAAGGGUAGGUAAUACCGGGUGAUAUAACGCUCUCGCAUGAGAGUGUUCUCAAAGGUCCGCCGGUCUGGGAGCGGGCGAUUUCGUAUCAGCUAGUUGGUGGGGUAACGCCCACCAAGGCGACGACGCGUAGCCGGACUGAGAGGUUGGCCGGCCACAUUGGGACUGAGACACUGCCCAGACUCCUACGGGGGCUGCAGUAACGAAUCUUCCGCAAUGCACGCAAGUGUGACGGAGCGACGCCGCGUGUGGGACGAAGCCCUUCGGGGUGUAAACCACUGUCAGGGGCAGCCAAGAACUGAGGCGCCCAGAGGAAGGCACGGCUAACUCUGUGCCAGCAGCCGC
RNAcentral lists this ribosomal RNA (460 nucleotides) under uncultured bacterium. Its description in RNAcentral is "SSU rRNA". It matches the Rfam family "Bacterial small subunit ribosomal RNA", at positions 26 to 518 of the family's 1533-position model. The record is from RNAcentral.